GUCUGAAUAAAUAGACAAAACUCCCAAAUUUCCCUUACUUUGUAAUUAUUAUAAUCACAGUUCAAGUGUGUUCAUUGUGUUCUGCUUGAAUAUAUGUCAUUGACUAACUGUACUGACAUUUCUGUUUUAUGGAUAUUGCUUUGACAUAGUAAUCUCUCAAAACAAAUAACUUAUAAUUGUAAUCUAGAGAAAUGCAUCUCAUGUAAAGCAGCUCUGAAAUGAUAAGCAAUACAUAAUGCUCUACACAAAUAAACUUGAUUUGAAUUAAAUUAAACCUUAGGCUUGUUUUGAUUGCUACUAUGCAUUCCUGAUCAGUCACUGUGCAUUUGCAUGAAGUUUGCUUAGAUUUGUCGCAAAUUUAGGUCUUAAGUAACCUCACGAACUAUGGGUUCAACUUGCUCUUUUGCUGCAAAUCGCUAUCAGUGCGAAUGCCCUUUAAUGUGAUUAGCAUAUGCUAACAGCUUCUGGUUCUUUCUAGCAUAACCAGUCAUUGCCGAAUUUGAAAAGGUUAGUAAUGUCCAAUUCGUGUUUGUUUUGUUUUGUUUUGUUUGUUUUGGCAAAAAGAGAAGGCUGACUUGUUCAGGACUCUGCUCUCAGAUCACACACGAGGAUGGAGGGGUAAACGAACAAAUGGAUGGUGGGGCACUGUGAAGAUUUGAAUGGCCAAUGUCUGAAGAUGAAGAACAAAUAGAAACAGAAAGAGACAGAAUUGAGACAAGGUGGCUUAGGAUUAACUUUGGAGGAACCAGAAGAAGCAUAAGAAGUACUGAAGAAGGAAAUUUUGUUUGCCCUUAAAAUGGAGGGUGAAUCGGUUUAUAAAUCGUCGAUGGGGCGCAUGUAGAUUUUUUGCACACAACUAUUCUCAUCCUCUCUAACAGCCCACUCCUCAUCCCUGUAUCUCUCUCUUUUCUUCUGUUGCUCUCUCUCCCUUUCUCUCAGCUCAGCGUGCAUUGUGCUUUGAAGUCACCACUUUGACAAGUCAACCCUGAUGUAUUAUUCAAGAAGACUGUCGCACAGUAUCCCUCUUCUCUCUUCUUCACAGUUAUUCUCUGGCUGUCUUUCUAUUUCUCUAUUUUUCUUUUGUUCUCAAACAUAAUAUAUGAAUGUAUGAACUUAGAUAAGGAGGCAGACAGGAACUGAGCACUACUAUUGUGCUGUUCACAGGAAUAAUGGGGCCUGAUUGCUCACGGGUGCCUGUGUUUGUUAAAUAUUGUGUUGUGAAACAAUCAUCUCAAGAAUUAAUGCGUGUGCGUGAUAUGGAUAAUGCUGUCGGUUUUUAUGAGCUUACUGUGGUCAGAGUGUAUUAGUCAGGCAGUAGUGUUUUAAGACUAUGAAUGUGUCAGUGAGCGUUGGUAUCAUUCAGCGUGUGUGCGCAAAACUGUUGCUCCCUGGCACAGGGUCUCAUUCUCACCGCAAAGAUUGUUCUGGCAUGUCUUCUUAAAGCAGACAGAUAUGUCAUAACUGAACAUUUCAGAGAUCGAGAGAGAGGAAGAGAGGGUGUAUUCAACAGGCCUGUCAACACAACUCAAUAUCACUCUUAGUCUGAGGCUCAGAAGACACACCCAUGGACCACCCACAGUCCAUUCACUGACCAUCUGAUGCAUAAUAUGCACAAAGCUGUCUUGAUCUUGCAAACUAAAUCUGAUUCACUGACUUAAUGCAACUUUAAGAGCAAUAGCGCAAUGGGAUCUAUCUGUUUGACUGGAAGUCUUGUAUGCAAGGUAUUGGGUUUAUAGAACAAGUGAUUCUGUGGAUACAAUUAUUACUGGAAUUGUCAAUGCUUGUGAGGUAAGUGGUUUCAGAUAUAUAAAAUAUAUUCAAGGUCAGACGUACCAAAUCUUUUUUUUUCUUUUUCUUUCUCUUUUUUUUUUUUUUUUUUGAGGCAUCUUGGUAACCAUGAGAAGAACGUUGAAUUCAACUUUGUGUAAUAAUCAUUACUCAUUGCUAAUCUAAAGAUGGAAAAAUCAUAGUCUAUAUACAUUUGCCACUGUUCCUAUUGGAAUUUCCAUGAUGGAUUAACAUUGGCAUGAAAUUGAUCCUAUCUAUUUUGUAAAUGUAUUCGUCCACAAAAAUUACAUAACUUUAUGAUAACUCAAAAUAACUUGAUUUUCUUGGGAAACAAAUGACUUCUCUCUGGCGAUGUAUAUCAGACUUCUCAGCAUCAUUUAGUCCAUUUAAACACAAUCCAACCUUAACUGACUACAAGUUUUCAUUUCAUUUUUGAGUAAAUCAGCCACAUAUCAAAAUCCUAACAAUGACUGAUGGUUAAAAUGAAGUACCUGGAGUACAUACAUUUUCAAUAGUACAUACAGAAUAAGAGAGGAAAUAGAAGAAAUCACAAAUUAUCAUAAGAAAACUCUACUUUAAAUGCUGUUUUUCCCACUGGCCUUUUAUUGUGGUGUCUUCCAAUCGUCUAUCUUCUAAUAAUAAUAAAAACACUUCUAAACUACACAUAAAAUUGAGCUGUGAUCAGUCAUAUUUCGUAUUACUUUUGAGUUUUUCUUCACAUUACAAUCCUCCUCUCUUCUUUUAGUUUUUUCUUUGAGUUUUUAGGUAUUUUUCCUCACAUUUCUACCCUUAUACACCGUUUCUACUUGUCUUCUGUCCUCUCAGUCUGGAUUCUUAGCUGACGUGUCUCUUUUCUGUUUUGGCGUGAUGGCGUCUCCCUUCUGCCAGAUCUCCACUCUGUCCCAGAACAGCCAGGACACCACACGUGUGCCAGCCAGCCGGCGACAUCGAGACAGAGACACCGUGUAUGUGUGAAAGAGAGGAACAAAGACUCCGCAGAUGGAGAGACAAACAGGAGAAGUGGAAAGAUACAGAGAACACAAACGGGUGAUCUGACAGUGGAAAGAAUGAGAAAACGCACAGUUGCACAUGGGAUCGGGGGCAAUAGAUGAUAGACCAACAUUACCUGGACCCUCUCCUUUGGAUGAAAAAGCAUGGAUAUUCCAGGUCUUUGUAAGAGACAGACCAACAAUUCACUCCAUAAACCCUUAUAAGUAACCCAGAUCCACUGGUUUCAAGGUUUUAAUUAUUGGGUCAAACCUUCUACAGAAAUAUGAAAGGUGUCCUGUGACCUCUUUGGAACCAAAGCUGUUGGUGACUUCACAGAUGUAGUUUCCAGAGUCUUCCAGACGGAGAUCACUGAUUGUGAGGCCAGUUAGUCGCCGUGUCCAGCGGGAAUCAGCAGGAAGUGGCCUCCCAUCUUUCAAC
Molecule: long non-coding RNA, 3216 nt
Organism: Carassius gibelio (silver crucian carp)
Lineage: Eukaryota; Metazoa; Chordata; Actinopteri; Cypriniformes; Cyprinidae
Exons: 3
Source: RefSeq, a predicted model, not a curated record